GUACGUGGAAAGGAGCAGGAAGGCAUUCAGAGCAAGGACUGGCAAAGCCAGAUCUGAAGCUUUUGCAAGGUUUAGAGCAGCGUGUGGACAAUUGGGGCUCACCUGGGCUUUUUCAGGCUCUCUCAACCCAAACAAAGGAGUAAGGUUUUGUGGCUGAAGUCCAGAGGGCCCAGCUGGAUCUUGCUUCUCCAGCUGUAAGGGAUGCGAGCGUUCAUCAGCGAGGAGUACCACAACGCUCCAUUAUGUGUGCCACUUAGUCUGGACCCUGGGAACACUGACUGUGACCAAAGAAACGCUGUUAACUGUUAAACUGCCUGCUCGGGACUCCUUGCAUUGCU
Long non-coding RNA from Alligator sinensis (Chinese alligator), 338 nucleotides. RefSeq lists it as uncharacterized. The record is from RefSeq and is a predicted model, not a curated record. The transcript is spliced from 3 exons. Lineage: Eukaryota; Metazoa; Chordata; Crocodylia; Alligatoridae.